Molecule: unclassified non-coding RNA, 329 nt
Organism: Cebus imitator (Panamanian white-faced capuchin)
Lineage: Eukaryota; Metazoa; Chordata; Mammalia; Primates; Cebidae
Gene: 7SK
Rfam family: 7SK RNA
About the family: 7SK was discovered as an abundant small nuclear RNA in the mid-70s but a possible function has only recently been suggested.
Source: Ensembl
GGAUGUGAGGGCAAUCUGGCUGCGACAUCCGUCACCCCAUUGAUCGCCAGAGUUGAUUUGGUUGAUAUGGCUGGCUAGGCGGGUGUUCCUUUCCCCCCUCACUGCUCCAUGUGUGUCCCUCCCGAAGCUUUGAGCUGGGUCGAAGAGGAAGACCAUACCCAAUAGAGGAGGACCCAUCUUUGGUCAAGGGUAUAUGAAUAGCUGCACUCCCCUGCCAGAAUCCCCAAACAAGUUCUCAAGUACUAACCUCCAAUACCUGUGAAUGUUGACCUUAUUUGGAAGUAGAAUCUUUGCAGAUGUAAUUGGUUUGUAUGAUGUCAUACUGGAUU